UACGAAGGGUGCAAGCGUUACUCGGAAUUACUGGGCGUAAAGCGUGCGUAGGUGGUUUGUUAAGUCUGUUGUGAAAGCCCCGGGCUCAACCUGGGAAUGGCAAUGGAUACUGGCAAGCUAGAGUGCGGUAGAGGGUAGUGGAAUUCCCGGUGUAGCGGUGAAAUGCGUAGAGAUCGGGAGGAACACCAGUGGCGAAGGCGGCUACCUGGACCAGCACUGACACUGAGGCACGAAGGCUAGGGGAGCAAACGGG
Molecule: ribosomal RNA, 253 nt
Filed under: uncultured bacterium
Lineage: Bacteria
Description: partial 16S ribosomal RNA
Rfam family: Bacterial small subunit ribosomal RNA
Source: RNAcentral